UACGUAGGGGGCUAGCGUUGUUCGGAAUUACUGGGCGUAAAGCGCACGCAGGCGGUGGUCAUAGUCAGAAGUGAAAGCCCUGGGCUCAACCCGGGAAUUGCUUUUGAUACUGGACCGCUAGAAUCACGGAGAGGGUAGUGGAAUUCCGAGUGUAGAGGUGAAAUUCGUAGAUAUUCGGAAGAACACCAGUGGCGAAGGCGACUACCUGGCCGUCGAUUGACGCUCAUGUGCGAAAGCGUGGGGAGCAAACAGG
This 253-nucleotide ribosomal RNA is filed under the name uncultured bacterium. RNAcentral's name for it is "partial 16S ribosomal RNA". It matches the Rfam family "Bacterial small subunit ribosomal RNA", at positions 524 to 776 of the family's 1533-position model. The record is from RNAcentral.